UGGGGAAUAUUGCACAAUGGGCGAAAGCCUGAUGCAGCGACGCCGCGUGAGGGAUGACGGCCUUCGGGUUGUAAAACCUCUUUCAGCAGGGACGAAGCGCAAGUGACGGUACCUGCAGAAGAAGCACCGGCUAACUACGUGCCAGCAGCCGCGGUAAUACGUAGGGUGCAAGCGUUGUCCGGAAUUACUGGGCGUAAAGAGUUCGUAGGCGGUUUGUCGCGUCGUUUGUGAAAACCAGCAGCUCAACUGCUGGCUUGCAGGCGAUACGGGCAGACUUGAGUACUGCAGGGGAGACUGGAAUUCCUGGUGUAGCGGUGAAAUGCGCAGAUAUCAGGAGGAACACCGGUGGCGAAGGCGGGUCUCUGGGCAGUAACUGACGCUGAGGAACGAAAGCGUGGGUAGCGAACAGGAUUAGAUACCCUGGUAGUCCACGCCGUAAACGGUGGGCGCUAGGUGUGGUUCCUUCCACGGAAUCCGUGCCGUAGCUAACGCAUUAAGCGCCCCGCCUGGGGAGUACGGCCGCAAGGCUAAAACUUAAAGGAAUUGACGGGGUCAUAGCUGUUUCCU
This 567-nucleotide ribosomal RNA is filed under the name uncultured bacterium. Its description in RNAcentral is "partial 16S ribosomal RNA". It matches the Rfam family "Bacterial small subunit ribosomal RNA", at positions 355 to 1375 of the family's 1533-position model. The record is from RNAcentral.